Molecule: ribosomal RNA, 421 nt
Filed under: uncultured bacterium
Lineage: Bacteria
Description: bacterial SSU rRNA
Rfam family: Bacterial small subunit ribosomal RNA
Source: RNAcentral
UAAGGAAUAUUGGUCAAUGGACGCAAGUCUGAACCAGCCAUGCCGCGUGAAGGAUGAAGGUCCUCUGGAUUGUAAACUUCUCUUAUAGGGGAAGAAACCUCUUGAUUCUUCGAGAGUUGACGGUACCCUAGGAAUAAGCACCGGCUAACUCCGUGCCAGCAGCCGCGGUAAUACGGAGGGUGCAAGCGUUAUCCGGAUUCACUGGGUUUAAAGGGUGCGUAGGAGGGCAGGUAAGUCAGUGGUGAAAUCUCCGGGCUUAACUCGGAAACUGCCGUUGAUACUAUCUGUCUUGAAUAUUGUGGAGGUGAGCGGAAUAUGUCAUGUAGCGGUGAAAUGCUUAGAUAUGACAUAGAACACCAAUUGCGAAGGCAGCUCGCUACACAUAUAUUGACUCUGAGGCACGAAAGCGUGGGGAUCAAAC